This 848-nucleotide long non-coding RNA is filed under the name Salmo salar (Atlantic salmon). Its description in RNAcentral is "lncRNA (ENSSSAG00000098829.1)". The record is from RNAcentral. Lineage: Eukaryota; Metazoa; Chordata; Actinopteri; Salmoniformes; Salmonidae.
CGAACAAAACGCCGCUAUUCGGAUAUAACGAUGGAUUAUUUUGGACCAAACCAACAUUUGUUAUUGAAGUAGACGUCCUGGGUGUGCAUUCUGACGAAGACAACAAAAGGAACCAUGUUCGCGUCUUCAGACUGUUUACGGAAACCACCCUGGCUCUCCUCCUGUCCUACUGCCCUGGAAUGGAUGUCGUCUUCAGACUGUUUACGGAAACCACCCUGGCUCUCCUCCUGUCCUACUGCCCUGGAAUGGAUGUCGUCUUCAGAAUAUACCCACUCUAGCCAGUAGACCCUACAGAUUCAGUAUAUCAGCUUGGAACAAAGGCCUUGCUGGUGGUUCUGUGCCUUACCCUACUCUCUGCUCAUCUUCCUCUAUGAUGAAAUACAUCCUGCGACAAAAUUCAGGAGGUUGGGUGGACAAGGAGUAUGAAGGAUCUUGUUUGGAGACUUCUUCCUGGUUAACCUGAUCCUGUGGGUGGAGGGCAGCCAUCCCCUUCGCCGCUCUGGUGGCCAUCUUGGCUUUGAGGUUUGCCAUCUCCAUGCCCUUUACCUUUGUGGGCGCCUAGCCUACUUCGGCUUCAAGAGACCUAAUAAUAGUUCUGCAGGAGGGGUGAAGUCAGGCGCAGGAGACUCAGGUACGUGAAACACGUAGUCAUUUUAAUGAAUGAAAAAACCAGUCCAAAAAUAACAAGCCGAAAAGGCAGGGAAAAAUAUUCCAAUAAAGGAAGACUAACACAGUCUUUUGAAAUAUAUCGGGACGCAGCCCAGCAACCCUAACACCCAAACGAUUAAAUUAUAAAUGGACAGAAAAGAAAAUCCCCCAACCUACAAUAGCAGACACGAAACAAUCCC